This 82-nucleotide transfer RNA is filed under the name Mycosarcoma maydis (corn smut). RNAcentral's name for it is "tRNA-Ser (TGA) (tRNA-Ser-TGA-1-1)". It matches the Rfam family "tRNA". From Rfam's summary of the family: Transfer RNA (tRNA) molecules are approximately 80 nucleotides in length. Their secondary structure includes four short double-helical elements and three loops (D, anti-codon, and T loops). Lineage: Eukaryota; Fungi; Basidiomycota; Ustilaginomycetes; Ustilaginales. RNAcentral also lists the same sequence under 2 other names. The record is from RNAcentral.
GGUGCGAUGCCCGAGUGGUUAAGGGGUUAGUCUUGAAAACUAAUUCGCAAUGCGAGCGCAGGUUCGAACCCUGCUCGCACCG